GCCCAAUCAGCAGAUGCCAAGAUUCGGACUGAGGCAGAAUCUAAUCUUAGUCAGUUCCGAGAGCAAAACCUUCCAGGGUUUUUUCUUUCACUAGCUGUUGAGCUCUCAAAUGAUGGGAAGCCUACAGAAUCUCGUAGGCUAGCUGGUAUUGUGCUUAAAAACUCACUGGAUGCUAAAGAAACUGUCAGGAAACAACAGCUUGUUCAACAGUGGCUGACAAUUGAUUCAUCUUGCAAGUCUCAAAUUAAAAGCUUGCUUCUAAGCUGCCUUGGAUCAUCUGUACGCGAGGCAAGUCACACUGCUUCCCAAGUGAUUGCUAAAAUAGCUUCCAUUGAAGUUCCUCAGAAACAAUGGCCAGAGCUCAUUGGUUCAUUGCUUGUUAACAUGACACAACAAGGAAGUCCUGCAUCCGUGAAACAGGCAACCUUGGAGACACUUGGUUAUGUGUGUGAGGAGAUA
Molecule: unclassified non-coding RNA, 459 nt
Filed under: Hevea brasiliensis (rubber tree)
Lineage: Eukaryota; Viridiplantae; Streptophyta; Magnoliopsida; Malpighiales; Euphorbiaceae
Source: RNAcentral